CGCGUAGGUGGUCUGUUAAGUCAGAUGUGAAAUGUAAGGGCUCAACCCUUAACGUGCAUCUGAUACUGGCAGACUUGAGUGCGGAAGAGGCAAGUGGAAUUCCUAGUGUAGCGGUGAAACGCGUAGAUAUUAGGAGGAACACCAGUGGCGAAGGCGACUUGCUGGGCCGUAACUGACGCUGAGGCGCGAAAGCGUGGGAGCAAACA
Molecule: ribosomal RNA, 206 nt
Filed under: uncultured bacterium
Lineage: Bacteria
Description: partial 16S ribosomal RNA
Rfam family: Bacterial small subunit ribosomal RNA
Source: RNAcentral